RNAcentral lists this long non-coding RNA (388 nucleotides) under Numida meleagris (helmeted guineafowl). Its description in RNAcentral is "lncRNA (ENSNMEG00000001690.1)". The record is from RNAcentral. Lineage: Eukaryota; Metazoa; Chordata; Aves; Galliformes; Numididae.
UAACCAAAACUAGACUGAUCUCACUACUGAGAGAACCUGAGAACCAUUCUGUUUUUCUUGGAAAAUGAAAGAUUGGGCUUUAUAUUUUACAGAAUGUACGCUGCCCUCUGGAAAAAUUUUUCUAGAUGAGGGGAAUAGAUGUUCAUAGUGACCCACAUAGUAUUAAAUGCUACGACAUUAUUUCUUGUGGUCAUGGAGGACGAAGCUUAGUGACUCACUUGGCCUUUUGCGGGUCCAUCUUCCCAGAGCAGAGCAAUUGGUGCUGAGCAGCAUGGAAAACAGCUACUGGAAGACAGAGCCCUUUGAGGUUUAAGGAUGUGACAAGUAGGAACAACACAAAAACAAUGUCUGACUCUACUGAUGAAAAGCAAAGCAUAAUAGAUGGUAA